AUCAGUCUGGUCAUUGUUUGACAGGUUUGACUAACAGGUGUCCUUGUUGAGUGGCCUGGUAGGAGCUGAGUGGAGCUCAGUGAAGUGGAGGAGGAGACUCGCUGUAUAUUUAAUCGCCAUUUCGAAGAAGCGCAGACAGUCAUCGGUCGGAGCUCAGAGCUGAUCUGCUGGACUGAACAUACUUUCAGUUCAUAAAGAAUGAAAAGAUUGCUGACAAACUGCUGCUGGAAAUGCCUGCAGUUCCUUCUUCCACUAAAGACCUGGACACUGUCUGAUGGAUGUGGUUGACUGGCUGCUCUUGUUGUCGAAACUGAAGGGGUGACGGAGCUGCGAGGAGGUCGACGAAGGACGGUGUGGAUGCUAUUGCCCAAAUCUGAAGUUCAGUAGACGAACACAAAUGUCCCCAUGCUAAUAAGACCCACGCAAGUAACAUCAGUGACAGAGCAACAAUCAGAACAGGUCCAUAAAACCACAGUAUGUGAGCAUCACUCUGAACUCCAGUUAAUCCAGUAUGGAUGGUUACAGUGUUUCCCUCCAGCUCCUGCAGUCUGACAACCUCUUCUCCAGCUGAGCACAGCAGACCUGAAAGAGAAGUGAGUUCAGCCGUCUGCUGUAUGAAAUGAACAGGUGAGUGAGCUAGAAAAACAACAGAGAAAAUUAAAUGAAUAACCAGCAAUUAAACAAGAGCUGCAGUUACAUGAAGCUACUGGUUUUAUAAAUAAAAAACAGCAUCUGUUUGGAAGUCACUAAAAUCAUUCUUUUAUCUGUAUUAUCUUUGAUCUGAAAAUAAAUUUGUCUUUUUUUUGUUGUAGCCACUGAAACCCUUACUAUUUUAGCUGUUUUUGUAACUGAUUGGUUCUUUAAUGAUAUGUUUAGUCAUUUUAGUUGUACCUUAGAACCUUUAUCAUAGAACUACACACAGUCAGGCUGCCAUUAAUCUGCUCUUUAUUGUUUCAUUUGCAGCUCAGUUAUGACUUGCAUUUAAUUCUUGUGCAAAGCUAAAUAUUAAUGAUUAUUUUACUGUUUAGUUCCUUAUUUUCAAUUAUUUGUUCUCUGUUUUGUUGUUUGGUUGUUGUCAUCAGUUUCAAGGGAAUCACCACAAAAGAGCACAGCAAAAAUAAGAAAAGCAGAAAUAAUCAGAGAACACCAGAAUAGAGCUUUUCAGCUGCUGAAAAAAGGGAAGGAAGAAUUUUGUGGAGGUUGGGGGGGGGGGAUACAGUAUAUCUUAAUAUUGUCUUGAAAUCCCCUUACUUACGUUGUGACAUAGUUCAUCCUUGACCCCCAGCAAUCUCCCAAAAUUCAAAUCUUGAUUGAUUCCUUCAUGAAGCUUCUCCCUUCCUACUAUUUCAUCUGGAACUACUCCCUCAAGAACAUUCUCUAAAGAUUUUUCACAUAUUGUCUCAAAAUGUGAUAAUAGUGAAGAUAAACUAUAAUAACAAAAACAUGUGGAGAAACCAAAAUGUUUAUAAAAAACAAACACAAGUUCUUUUUUAGACUGUUCAGCUCAGCUGUAGCUCAGCACCCACUUUGCCUCACAGUUUCUAGAUUCUUGUCUGGAAGUGGUUGUAAGCAAUUACCAGCCACAAACAUUUGCGUUUGCUUACAUUUCUUCUGAGUAAACAGGAAACUGUCUUGGCAUCCUAUUACAGUACCACACUCGAAUUCAGUGAGCUCUUCAGAAUGACUCAUUCUUUCACAAAUGUUUGUAAAGGCAGGCUGCAUGGCUAGGUGCUUGAUUAUAUACACCUGAAUUCAACGAUUAAGUGGUGUGUCCCAGUUUAUCAUUUUUAUCAAGAGUACAAAUUAAGACUCAUAAGGCUAUGAAAGCGUACUCCACACCUCAGAUGUCCAAUUUUGGUGUUAUAGUACAAAUUGUUGUCUUUUUUAUCUGUUCAAUUUUCUCAGUAACAGCUUCUUAACAGCAUCCAUUCAAACAGUUUUGGUGGUCUUCCGUGUCUUACAUGGUUGUUACCAAUUUUUCUCUGUAUCUAUUUAUAGUUUUGAACUUCAGUUUUGGAAACACCUGUUUUUUUUCAUGUAAUUUUUCACACUUCCCUUUUUAAAUGAAAAUCAAGUGUCUAAUAUCUCUCUUGUGGGUAGCACUUCCUGUAUGACUGACUGUGAGAGCAUCUCUUUCAGUUCUCAUCAUCACACACUGAACUGUCAUCACGUGAGUGAGUGAACAGUGAAGAGCUCUGAACCUGCAUCAGCUUCAUUUAGCCUCAUGGAAUUUCACAGUGAGGACCUUUAUCAUCAUAUCAUCUAAGCUGAUUUUGUUCCUGGAUAGCCAGUCGUGUGUACAAUUGUUAGCUGAUAAAAUCCAGCAAUUUAACACUUGGCCUGACAGAACAGGGGUGCACAACUCCUGUUCUAGAGAGCCAGUCUCCAGCAUAGCUUGGAGGUCUCCUUAAUCAAACACAAUCAAUAAACCUGCAUCCAACAUAUGAGUGUGUUUGAGCAGGUACAUCACCAAACUGUGCUGAACACCAGCCCUAAAAGACUGGAGUUGUUAGAGUGUUAUAAUGUCUCAGUUUCUCUCAAGUAAAUAAUUAGUCCCUCACUGUUCUUUCAUAUCUACUUACUCUUUAUGGUUGAAAUACUUUUUGGAGCACUGAAAGCAGUAGUCAGAGUUUCAUUAAUAGACCUUAUCAUGUAGAAAACAACACUUGGCCUUAACAAAGCUGACAACUAGUUUAGAAAGGUUAGAAAAUGAGCAUCGUAGUAAUAAAGUUCAUGUUUACAUCUUUAGUUCCAAAUAUUAUUUUGUUCAGUGCUGUCAAAUACAUAGAAUACUUAAUAGUUUUGUAAAUCGAAAAGUAGUAGAGAAUCCGUCCUCAAAGAGUGCAUUUACACACAGACAGAAAUAGACACGCUCUCGUGCGACUGUACUACUGAACAAAGCUCACCACUGUACAGAUCAAUGUCCUGCCCCAGAUACAGAAACCCACAAUCUCCAUUAUGAGUUUCAGAGCCACUGAGGGUCUAAAAGCAGUUGAGUUAGACUCAUAAAUCUUACAGUGAUUAUAGCUGCUUUUGCAGAAUUGCCCUCCUUUUUGUCUUUUUAGUGUCUUUGACAAACGAUAGUUGAAGGUUUUUCUCAUGUAAAAUAAAUAUUACAAUUACAUACAAACUUAAAUCAGGCUUUUAAGAGUUGGGUAUUGAUAGGAAGAGUGGAGCUUGUUUUAGAGCAAGCAGUUUGAGGUGUUCACGCCUCUUACCCUCCUUUAACCAACCGCCACUAUGUGAGUCUGUAUAUGUGCAUGUGAUGACUUCUUCAUGUCUUCCGUUCCAUUCUUUACUUUGAACAUCUCUAUUCAAAGGAACAUCAUGAUGAAAACAAGAGUCACACAAAAACUUCCUCAAGCUCAAAUAUAUCAUAAAAGGAUGAACCUGA
This is a long non-coding RNA of Pygocentrus nattereri (red-bellied piranha), 3394 nucleotides long. RefSeq lists it as uncharacterized. The transcript is spliced from 6 exons. Lineage: Eukaryota; Metazoa; Chordata; Actinopteri; Characiformes; Serrasalmidae. The record is from RefSeq and is a predicted model, not a curated record.